CUUCAUUAUCGUUGUCCAGUGUUACACACUGUACAUAUUGUGUAUGCUAUGCUUUUAUAUGCUCAGCAGCGUAGUAUGUUCACAUCAGUAUCACCACGAACACGUGAGGAAUUCAUUGUUCUACAACGUCUUGAUGGGGUGAUAUUACUAGGGAAUAGAUUCUGUCAUCUCAUGGAACCAACAUUACAAAAGGGGUCUGUCAUUGACCUACACAUCAUUGUGUGUGUGGUACAUGACUGUGCAUGGUGAAGUGUUAUAGCGCAGACAAGCAAAUUAACAUACUCAUCACCUUGUAUGGUCUCCUACCUUUCCUUUCUCCUUUCUCUCAAUAUCUUUCUCCCUCUCUCCCUUCCUUUAUUUCUUUUUUCUUUUUGUAAUAAGAAUCUACUCUCUUGGCAAAUUCUCAGAAUAUAAAACAAUAUUAUUAGGUAUAGCCCCAAAGUUGUACAUCAGAUCUCUAAACUUAGCUAUCAUAACUGCAACUUUGCACCCUUUUGAUCUGUAUUUUCCCAUUUCUCUUCCUCUGGUAUAACUAUAAGCAUUUUACUUUCUGUUUCUAUGUACUAAAUUUUUUUUAGACUUCACAUAUAAGUGAGACCAUGCAGUAUUUUUAAAGUUCUUUAGAUUCAGUAAUUUUAUUGCAAAUGGUGGCAUCUCCUUUGUUAAGGCUGAAUAAUAUUUCAUCACAAUUUCUUUAUCCAUUCAUCCAUUAAUGGACUCUUAAGUAAUUCCUAUAUCUUGGCUACUAUACAUCUGUUGCAAUGAUAUGCUGAUGUCUUUACAAGGUGGUGAUUUUGUUUCCUAUGGGUAUGUACCCACGAGAUAGAUUGCUGGGUCAUAUGAUAGUUCUAUUUUUAACCUACUCAGGAAACUCCAUACUGUGUUCUACAAUGGUUGUACCAAUCUACAUUCCCAUCAAUAAUGCACAAGAGUCCUUUUAAUUCAUACCUUUGCCAGAACUUGUUAUCUUUCAUCUUUUUGAUAACAGCCAUUCUUACUAGAGGGAAAGAAUGUCUCACUGUGGUUUGGAUUUGCAUUUCCCUUAUGGUCAGUGGCCUUGAGUAUCUUUUCACAUACCUGUUGGCCAUUUUUAUGACUUUGACUAAAUAACUAUUU
RNAcentral lists this long non-coding RNA (1116 nucleotides) under Marmota monax (woodchuck). Lineage: Eukaryota; Metazoa; Chordata; Mammalia; Rodentia; Sciuridae. The record is from RNAcentral.